Molecule: long non-coding RNA, 1110 nt
Filed under: Homo sapiens (human)
Lineage: Eukaryota; Metazoa; Chordata; Mammalia; Primates; Hominidae
Description: HSALNT0002124
Source: RNAcentral
CCUGAACUCUUAAAUACUCAUAGUCUGUAAGAGAAAAGGCUCCUGACCUAAGUUGGCCAGAAGCCCCUCUCAGGUUUAUACUCCAAAAUAAGCCCAUGUUUGACUGUUAAGCCACUUUUCAUGUUUCUUUCUUCUUUCUUCAACUCUUACACCACUCAGAUAUGUUUUGAAAGAACAAAUCCAGGAACACCAUUUUGCUGCCUCAGUUUCCUGACUUCAAAGGCCCUGAGAGGCUGCCAUAAGUGGGGUGACAUAGCUAGUGGCAGAAGUGUGCCUGAAACCGAGACAGGUCAGUGAGGCCAGUUGAGAGAUUCUAGCCCCAGUGACUGCUGAUGCUGAGUUUAAUGUAGAUUUAAGGCAGAUUACAUUCAGGGGGGUUAGUAUGCUUGCGGACUUCUAUGUGAGGUAGGUUUUUUUGUUUUUUUUUUUUUUUUUUUAGACAGCAUCUCACUCUAUCACCCAGGUUGGAGUGCUGGAGUACAGUGGCACAAUCAUAGCUCACUGUAAUCUUGAAACUCCUCGGCUCAAGCCACCCUCUCACAGCAGCCUCCUAAGUAGCUAGGGCUAGAGGUGCAUACCGGCACACCCAGCUAAUUUUUAAAAAUUUCUUAGAGACAGGAUCUUACUAUGUUGCCCAGGGUGGACUUGAACUCCUGACCUCAAGCAAUGUUCCUGCCUCAGCCUCCCAAAGUACUGGGAUUAUAAGUGUGAGCCACUGCACCUGGCCCCAGUGAAGUAGUACUUUUUAUUAUACCCACAUAUAAGACUAAUUUGGGACAUUGGCAAACAGUAUCUCCCUGCUAAUAGUUGUACAGACUUUGAUCAUAGUACCUCUAGUACCUCACCCAUUAUCUUCCUAGAAUGGAAAGGCUCAAAUCAGGUGUAUUAGGCCAUUCUUUCAUUGCUAUAAAGAAAUACCUGAGACUGGGUAAUUUAUUUUUAUUUUGUUGAGAUGGAGUCUUGCUCUGUCACCCAGGCUGGAGUGCAGUGGUGUGAUCUUGGCUCACUGAAACCUCCACCUCCUGGGUUCAAGCGAGUCUCCUGCCUCAGCCUCCCAAGUAGCUGGGACUACAGGCAUGCACCACCACGCCUGUCUAAUUUUUGUAUUUU